This 3272-nucleotide long non-coding RNA is filed under the name Xyrichtys novacula (pearly razorfish). Lineage: Eukaryota; Metazoa; Chordata; Actinopteri; Labriformes; Labridae. The record is from RNAcentral.
GUGCUAAUAUUGCCUGUUCUGUUUAUAUUGACAAUAAAUCAUGAACAUGUUGUCCAUCCUUCCCUGCAGGAUCUGGUUAUAUGUGAGUGUGUGUCUAUGUUUGUGUGUGUGUCUGUGCAUUCAGCACAGCCCUGCACAGAACAGCCUAUUACACACAAACAAUCAGUGAGUGGGGUAAUUGCUUCAUAUGCAGCAUUUGAUUCCAUUACAGACAGACUGAUUGACCGUCAUUGCACGGUGACUCAUCCUGUCCAAAAUGAUUGAGUAGCAAACAUACUGUUUGUGUGUGUGUGUGUGUGUGUGUGUGUGUGUGUGUGUGUGUGUGUGCGUGUGUGUGUCUCUCUCUUUCUCUCUGUGUGUGGUGACAUUAUAAAAAACAGAAAAUGAAAAUUGACAAGUUUAGAAAGCAGGCUGUCAAAGGUUAUGCAGAUAAAUCACAUCACACAUGAAUCACACAUGAAUAUCAACACUAAUCAGACCAACAGACACUCUUUUAUCAGCUCAUGUAUGCUUGAUCAGCAAGCCCUAAGCAGGAGAGAUAAAUGGGCUACAGAGGUGUUUGCUUGGGACAAAUCUGAGAGCUCUUGUUAUUCCAAAGAUGCAUCCAAUCCCACACACUGAUGACCCUUUAACACGAGUGCUUCUAGGAUUUUCUGGAACUUUUUAGGAGCGUUGCCCCCCAAAUUUUCCAUCUCAAAAAAGGUUCAGUCCUGUAGUUUGUUAUUUACUCCAUUAUGUGUCGCUCCUUCAGUUUUGCGCUGGUCCCAUGCUACAAAUGCCAUCACCUCCCUCCUCGUGUUUAAUGGUUAAUUUGGAAAUUUCCUGCUGGGUUCUCACAUCAGACUUCACAGGGAAAUUUCACAAGAGACUGGUAGUAAAAAUCAGGGUGAUUUUUCUUUUCUUAAUUUAUUUUAUAAAAAUAAAUGUACUAUUCCCUUGGUUUAAGAUGACUGUAAGGCCGUUGACAUUAAUGGUAAAGAGAUAAGUGUUGGUUUCUGAAUCUGGUCAGAUCUGAAACCUGUGUGUUGAAAGGCAUAUGAAUUUAAUGUGUUUUAUGCCCCUCCUCUGUUGCUCUGAUUGGUUGCUUAGUCUUUAUGGUUUAAGCACAGUCAUAACACCUGUGAAUGAUAAAUGUACUGAAACAUUUCAGACCAAUUUACAUUUGUAUUUGCAAAUUAGUCUGGCAGUGACAGACUGCAGAGGUCUAGUAAGCUUUUUGACUCUGAGUUUGUGAAAACUGAGAGUUGGAGGUCAAUCCCACAUUAUCGACCUUUUUUAAAUGGCACCAGUAGGAAUUUUGACAUAAACACUUACUGAAAAAGGGAAAAUGGUUGAAAAUGCUGCUCUUUUUGCCUUUUUAGAUUACCUUUCUGUUAAAUAUAACCAGACUUUGAGAAGUAACACCACUGUAAGUACUGAGACAGCUCAACCUUAUGAAGUUAUAUCCAAUUAAAACUGUUAAAUCACAUCAGGUCUUUCACAUCAAAAAGAAACUUGUCCUUUGAGACAUUAUCAUAAGUAGGCCUACAGCAACUCCUAAUCAGUAAAAAGAGUAUUUGCAGCCAACUAAGGCCCAAAAGGUCAGUUUUUUUAAAUCUGACACCAAAUUGGAUUAAAAAAUCAGCUGCUAUUACACCGACCCCCCGCAAUUGACAUUUACAUUGGACACAAGUUGGCUCAGACCAAGUAAUCUUAUUAGAAGAGGGUCCAUGAGGGCCGAAGUAGAUUUAGCAGUGCUGGGAUCAUAUAUCGUGAGCAGGUGGUUUUAUGAUGUAAAACCAGCUACGAGCUAAAAACAUAAAAAAGUUGGCACAAAUUCUUGAUUUAUAAAUGGUUUUAUUCAUGCAGCUGAUUAUAAUGCUUUCUCGGAUUUCAUGGGAUGUACUGCUUCCAUGGCAACAGAUUCUAAUCAGACUCCUAUGGGGCAAAAAAAAGAAAGAAAAAACAAACAUUAAAUUUAACAUCUCAGUUCAUGGUCACGUCUAAACUUGUAACUGCGUACUUGUUAUAAUUCACAUCAGACUGACUUUAGAAAAGAUGAAAAACAAAAAAAGCCAAAAUAUUUAUACCAUGCUCUAUCUUCUCAGAGUUUUGCUGUUGACACACCUAUUGAUCAUUUUAAUUUUUGUUAACAGUGGGACCAUAUAGGUGGGUGGGGCUUAAUGGGAAGUAGUUUUUUGCUUUUUUUCUUCUGAAAAUAGUGGAAGAUACUGUUUCUUUCAAUAACCUUGCACUGACAAACUUGCUGACCUGUUUGCUCUCUCUCAGUGGAUGGAUGAUUUGACAGGACUGCAGAGGACAGAUGGAAAGAUUUUCACUCUUGAUAGAAAAACCAAGUAAUAGACAAACUGAGGGUGUAUGAGUUCUUGGAUGUCUUAAUAUUUAUGGCUUAUCAUCACCAUGACUACCACACAAAGGAAGACAGCCAACAAAAGGUUUCCUCUGGUUUGUUUUGCUAGCAAAGCUAAUAUUGGCCCAUGUGCUAAAUCAAUAAAUGUUACAGAGUAAUCCAAUAUUCCUCCUGAUGCCGCCUCAAUUUCUGAUCAGAGGUAUAUGAUAACUGUUGCGAUACAUGAUGUCAUCCAUCCACUCAACAGGAAAUAUACAGUACAAUAUUUCAAGUGUUUGCUGCACACACGUCCUUUCUUCUUAAUACAUCUGACCAAAGUUAUCUCUGUUUUUGUUGAUGGGUAGUGGUGGCUUAUACACAAAAAAAAGAGAAAGUUUUGAGUCUUUACUGUUGAUUCCUCUAUUCUGACUUAUUUGAACUCAUGUGUUGCCUUUUAUUCUGUAGUCACUGUCCAGGUUGGCCUUCAGUUUUCCUUUUCCGUCCAUGUAAUACCAUGAUGUCACAGUAAAGUUGCCUCCAACAGGGUCCAUACAGACAUCAUGCCUUAACUUUUAACAUGGUUACUUUUGUCUCCAACACUCAUGGUCUGGGCUAUUUUGCUUCUGUUUUUCCUCUCAGAGUUGGUUGGAGCCAUAGACUGUAUAUACUAUGGACAACUUGGUUCCGCCUUCCGCCAUCAUACGGAUUUGAAGCUGAGAAUCUCUCGGUAACUUUGCAUUUUCUCCCGACUUCCUGAAACCAACAUUGCGCAGUAGUGUUGUGCGCAUUCAGUGGGAGAGUCGCUGUGAUGACGCUCAUCUUAAAUAGCGUAUCCCUCGGGUGAGCUACGCAAUCUUUGAUCACCCAUAAGCUGUAUCAAGUGUCAAUCAUAGAAAACAUGAACCCCCUAAAAACUUUUGAAAAGUGAGCUGCACAGAAAAAA